AACGACUCUCGGCAACGGAUAUCUCGGCUCACGCAUCGAUGAAGAACGUAGCAAAAUGCGAUACUUGGUGUGAAUUGCAGAAUCCCGUGAACCAUCGAGUUUUUGAACGCAAGUUGCGCCCAAAGCCAUCAGGUUGAGGGCACGUCUGCCUGGGUGUCACGCA
Molecule: ribosomal RNA, 163 nt
Filed under: Reichardia picroides
Lineage: Eukaryota; Viridiplantae; Streptophyta; Magnoliopsida; Asterales; Asteraceae
Description: 5.8S ribosomal RNA
Rfam family: 5.8S ribosomal RNA
About the family: 5.8S ribosomal RNA (5.8S rRNA) is a component of the large subunit of the eukaryotic ribosome.
Source: RNAcentral